CAUCAUUUUCUCUGCAUCUCCUUUUUGAAGCUUAUUACAAUGGCGGAAACUGCUAUAGUAACAAAAUCAGAAAAUCCCCAUAUCGUAAUUUUACCAAGUCCUGGUAUGGGUCACUUAAUCCCUCUUGUUGAAUUUUCUAAGAGACUAAUCUCUCAACACCAGUUUUCUGUCACUCUUAUUCUCCCUACAGAUGGACCUAUCUCUAAUUCUCAGAAAAUUUUCCUUAAUUCUCUUCCCUCUUGCAUGGAUUAUCACCUUCUUCCUCCUGUUAAUUUCGAUGAUUUGCCUCUUGAUGUUAAAAUUGAAACUAGAAUCUCCCUUACUGUUACGCGUUCUCUUUCUUCACUGCGUGAUGUUUUUAAAACACUUGUUGAUUCGAAGAAAGUAGUUGCUUUUGUGGUUGAUCUUUUUGGUACUGAUGCAUUUGAUGUUGCCAUUGAUUUCAACGUUUCCCCUUAUAUUUCGUGAUGUUUUUAAAACACUUGUUGAAUCCAAGAAAGUAGUUGCUUUUGUGGUUGAUCUUUUUGGUACUGAUGCAUUUGAUGUUGCCAUUGAUUUUAACGUUUCCCCUUAUAUUUUUUUCCCUUCUACUGCCAUGGCUUUGUCUCUGUUUCUUUACUUGCCUAAGCUUGAUGCAACCGUGUCAUGUGAGUACAGAGACUUACCUGACCCGAUUCAGAUUCCGGGUUGUAUUCCUAUUUAUGGCAAGGAUCUUCUCGACCCGGUUCAGGACCGGAAAAACGAAGCUUACAAAUGGCUUCUUCAUCAUUCUAAGAGGUAUGGAAUGGCUGAGGGAGUAAUAGCUAACAGUUUCAAGGAAUUGGAAGGAGGGGCAAUUAAAGCUCUGCAGGAAGAAGAACCCGGCAAGCCACCCGUUUACCCGGUUGGACCACUGAUUCAGAUGGAUUCGGGUAGUAAUGUUGACGGGUCGGGUUGUCUGACGUGGCUGGAUGAACAGCCACUUGGCUCUGUUUUGUAUAUCUCGUACGGGAGUGGUGGGACCCUCUCUCAUGAGCAGCUCAUUGAAGUUGCAUCAGGACUGGAAAUGAGUGAACAAAGGUUCUUGUGGGUAAUUAGAUGUCCAGAUGACACUGUAGCCAAUGCCACUUAUUUUAAUGUCCAAGAUUCAACAAACCCUCUUGAUUUUCUCCCAAAAGGGUUCUUGGAAAGGACCAAAAGUUUAGGUUUAGUGGUGCCUAAUUGGGCCCCACAAGCUCAAAUUCUUGCCCAUGGUUCAACGGGCGGGUUUUUGACUCAUUGCGGAUGGAACUCGAUUCUGGAAAGUGUGAUCCACGGAGUACCACUCAUAGCUUGGCCACUUUAUGCUGAACAAAAGAUGAAUGCUGUUAUGCUAGCUGAGGAUAUUAAAGUAGC
RNAcentral lists this long non-coding RNA (1374 nucleotides) under Nicotiana benthamiana. RNAcentral's name for it is "long non-coding RNA (NBEN_LNC035107)". The record is from RNAcentral. Lineage: Eukaryota; Viridiplantae; Streptophyta; Magnoliopsida; Solanales; Solanaceae.